Molecule: small RNA, 29 nt
Filed under: Bombyx mori (domestic silkworm)
Lineage: Eukaryota; Metazoa; Arthropoda; Insecta; Lepidoptera; Bombycidae
Description: ovarian small RNA-24943
Source: RNAcentral
UCAAUUUGGUUUCUGACUACGCGGUCUAC